GAGUGCUGGACAGACCACCAUGUGGAGUUGCCAUCUGAGGACAUUGCUACUUGGAUACCCCCACAGGACGCCCAGCCAGGCAUGAUGACUCACAUCUGUAAUCCCAGCACUUUGGGAGGCUGAGGCAAGAGGAUUGAGGCCAAGAGUUCAAGACCAGCCGGGGAAGCAUACCUCUCUUGAACCUUCACAGUCCAGCCGAGCUGCCAUCUCUUCAAGGAAGUUUUCCCUGAAGCCCUCAGGUAGACCCGUUUUUCCAUGGCGGCCACAUCAGCAUGCAGCACAUUUAAUUGGAAGUCUCCACAUAUGAGUUGGUUUUCCUUACUUAAAAUAUGCUUAUCAUCCCUUGGAGCACUUGAAAAUAUUGGCUAUUUCCUUCUGACCCCCAUGGUUUCUUUUAAAAAAUUUGCUGUUGUUUGAAUUAUUUUUCUCUACAGGUAUUGACUGCUGCCUCAUGAAGGCUGGUCCUGUCUCUAUAGUGAAUAUUGUGCACCUCAGGGUAGAAUGGAGAGCAGAAGACUUCAAAUCAGGCAGUCUGGGUUCAGACCCCAAUUCUAGUGCUAAAUAGCUACGUGACUUUAGGCCGAUUGUGUGUGACUUCCCUGAGCCCCAGUCUCUUUGCCUGCAAAAUGAGAAAAAUUAUAACAAUGUCAUCGGUUGUUCUGAGGAUUCUGAGAGGAAU
This 679-nucleotide long non-coding RNA is filed under the name Homo sapiens (human). Its description in RNAcentral is "long intergenic non-protein coding RNA 2086". Lineage: Eukaryota; Metazoa; Chordata; Mammalia; Primates; Hominidae. The record is from RNAcentral.